This 253-nucleotide ribosomal RNA is filed under the name uncultured bacterium. RNAcentral's name for it is "partial 16S ribosomal RNA". It matches the Rfam family "Bacterial small subunit ribosomal RNA", at positions 524 to 776 of the family's 1533-position model. The record is from RNAcentral.
UACGGGGGGGGCAAGCGUUGUUCGGAAUUACUGGGCGUAAAGGGCUCGUAGGCGGCCAACUAAGUCAGACGUGAAAUCCCUCGGCUUAACCGGGGAACUGCAUCUGAUACUGGAUGGCUUGAGUUCGGGAGAGGGAUGCGGAAUUCCAGGUGUAGCGGUGAAAUGCGUAGAUAUCUGGAGGAAUACCGGUGGCGAAGGCGGCAUCCUGGACCGAGAUUGACACUGAGGAGCGAAAGCCAGGGGAGCAAACGGG